GGGGUGCUCGAGUGGCGAACGGGUGAGUAACACGUGAGUAACCUGCCCUUGACUUUGGGAUAACUUCAGGAAACUGGGGCUAAUACCGGAUAGGAGCUCCUGCUGCAUGGUGGGGGUUGGAAAGUUUCGGCGGUUGGGGAUGGACUCGCGGCUUAUCAGCUUGUUGUGGGGUAGUGGCUUACCAAGGCUUUGACGGGUAGCCGGCCUGAGAGGGUGACCGGCCACAUUGGGACUGAGAUACGGCCCAG
Molecule: ribosomal RNA, 248 nt
Filed under: uncultured Actinomycetales bacterium
Lineage: Bacteria; Bacillati; Actinomycetota; Actinomycetes; Actinomycetales
Description: partial 16S ribosomal RNA
Rfam family: Bacterial small subunit ribosomal RNA
Source: RNAcentral